This 66-nucleotide transfer RNA is filed under the name Mylabris sp. MYL01. Its description in RNAcentral is "tRNA-Phe". Lineage: Eukaryota; Metazoa; Arthropoda; Insecta; Coleoptera; Meloidae. The record is from RNAcentral.
AUCUAAAUAGCUUAUUUUAAAGAGCGUAACAUUGAAGAUGUUAAGGAAACCCAGGGUUUUUAGAUA